Molecule: long non-coding RNA, 267 nt
Filed under: Brassica rapa (field mustard)
Lineage: Eukaryota; Viridiplantae; Streptophyta; Magnoliopsida; Brassicales; Brassicaceae
Description: long non-coding RNA (BRAP_LNC006685)
Source: RNAcentral
GGGUUUCCAAUUCUUAGGAAUACUUGAGUCCAAAUCUCUGCUGAAAAACUGCACGAGAUUAGAAGAUGAUCUCUUGUCUCUGGUUCAGUAGAGCAGAGGCAGCAGUGAGUUUGAAUUUGCAUUCCCCAUCCAACCAAACGAUGCUUUGUAGGAAGUCUGUCCAGAUUCGCAACCCACAUAUUAAAAGCAUGUUUUGGUAUUGCUCCCUUGAACCAAAUAGUUGCUGCCCAAGGUUUUGGAUCACUGCGAGGCCUUAUAACAUCCCAA